Molecule: ribosomal RNA, 162 nt
Filed under: Acer negundo (box elder)
Lineage: Eukaryota; Viridiplantae; Streptophyta; Magnoliopsida; Sapindales; Sapindaceae
Also listed under: 55 other names
Description: 5.8S ribosomal RNA
Rfam family: 5.8S ribosomal RNA
About the family: 5.8S ribosomal RNA (5.8S rRNA) is a component of the large subunit of the eukaryotic ribosome. It is transcribed by RNA polymerase I as part of the 45S precursor that also contains 18S and 28S rRNA.
Source: RNAcentral
AAAACGACUCUCGGCAACGGAUAUCUCGGCUCUCGCAUCGAUGAAGAACGUAGCGAAAUGCGAUACUUGGUGUGAAUUGCAGAAUCCCGUGAACCAUCGAGUCUUUGAACGCAAGUUGCGCCCCAAGCCGUUAGGCCGAGGGCACGCCUGCCUGGGUGUCAC